This is a long non-coding RNA of Trachemys scripta elegans, 492 nucleotides long. RefSeq lists it as uncharacterized. The record is from RefSeq and is a predicted model, not a curated record. NCBI's taxonomy places the organism in Eukaryota, Metazoa, Chordata, Testudines, Emydidae. The transcript has 2 exons.
AAAUAUUUUUAUGUCCAUGUUACAGAUGGUGAAACUGAGAUACAGGGAGAGAAGCUGCCUUGCACAUGGUCAUGCAGCGGGCCAAUGACAGAACAGAACCCAGAUGACUGGCAAGCGGCAUCCCCUUAGCGUGGUGGGGAUGAAGAGUUUCAGCUGCAUCAGUCGAAUAAGGACUCUGCUCUCUGACCUACCAGCUAAAUCCAAGACAUCGUGUUUGAGAAAUGUCAGUGAGUAAUUCCACAUUCCUGCCUUACAAAUUCCUGUAGCAGGUGGAAGAUAUUGCUCAAGCUCUGGUGGAGUCAGCCUUGAUGUUUGAUGGGAGAGUUACACCAGCCAACUAGUAACACAGUGAGAUGCAUUGUGUUAUCCAUUUCAAUAUCCUGUGCAAUGAGAUAACUUGAGCUUUAAAAUGCCUCGCUAUGGCUGGAAAAAGAUGGGAUAACAGUUUAAAUGACUUUGUCUUGUCAUUGUAAUAAAGUAAAAUCCUGGAUA